UGAGCAAUCUGCCCUUCUCAUCGGAAUAAGCGUUGGAAACGACGUCUAAUGCCGAAUACGACCUCCUUUCGCAUGAUCGGAGGUGGAAAGCUCCGGCGGAGAAGGAUGAGCUCGCGGCCUAUCAGCUAGUUGGUGUGGGUAAUGGCCCACCAAGGCGACGACGGGUAGCCGGCCUGAGAGGGUGACCGGCCACACUGGGACUGAGACACGGCCCAGACUCCUAUGGAGG
Molecule: ribosomal RNA, 229 nt
Filed under: uncultured bacterium
Lineage: Bacteria
Description: partial 16S ribosomal RNA
Rfam family: Bacterial small subunit ribosomal RNA
Source: RNAcentral